This 254-nucleotide ribosomal RNA is filed under the name uncultured bacterium. RNAcentral describes it as "partial 16S ribosomal RNA". It matches the Rfam family "Bacterial small subunit ribosomal RNA", at positions 524 to 776 of the family's 1533-position model. The record is from RNAcentral.
UACGUAGGGUGCGAGCGUUAAUCGGAAUUACUGGGCGUAAAGCGCACGUAGGCGGCUUUGUAAGUUAGAGGUGAAAGCCCGGGGCUCAACUCCGGAAUUGCCUUUAAGACUGCAUCGCUAGAAUUGUGGAGAGGUAAGUGGAAUUCCGAGUGUAGAGGUGAAAUUCGUAGAUAUUCGGAAGAACACCAGUGGCGAAGGCGACUUACUGGACACAUAUUGACGCUGAGGUGCGAAAGCGUGGGGGAGCAAACAGG